Molecule: ribosomal RNA, 468 nt
Filed under: uncultured bacterium
Lineage: Bacteria
Description: bacterial SSU rRNA
Rfam family: Bacterial small subunit ribosomal RNA
Source: RNAcentral
CGGGACGACGCUGGCGGCGUGCUUAACACAUGCAAGUCGAACGGUGACGAGGAGCUUGCUCCUCUGAUCAGUGGCGAACGGGUGAGUAACACGUGAGCAACCUGCCCCAGACUCUGGGAUAACAGUUGGAAACAGCUGCUAAUACCGGAUACGAGACGGAGAGGCAUCUCUACCGUCUGGAAAGUUUUUCGGUCUGGGAUGGACUCGCGGCCUAUCAGCUAGUUGGUGAGGUAAUGGCUCACCAAGGCGACGACGGGUAGCCGGCCUGAGAGGGCGACCGGCCACACUGGGACUGAGACACGGCCCAGACUCCUACGGGAGGCAGCAGUGGGGAAUAUUGCACAAUGGGCGAAAGCCUGAUGCAGCGACGCCGCGUGAGGGAUGACGGCCUUCGGGUUGUAAACCUCUUUCAGCAGGGAAGAAGCGAAAGUGACGGUACCUGCAGAAGAAGCACCGGCUAACUACGUG